Molecule: ribosomal RNA, 627 nt
Filed under: Enterococcus faecalis
Lineage: Bacteria; Bacillati; Bacillota; Bacilli; Lactobacillales; Enterococcaceae
Description: bacterial SSU rRNA
Rfam family: Bacterial small subunit ribosomal RNA
Source: RNAcentral
AGUGCUUGCACUCAAUUGGAAAGAGGAGUGGCGGACGGGUGAGUAACACGUGGGUAACCUACCCAUCAGAGGGGGAUAACACUUGGAAACAGGUGCUAAUACCGCAUAACAGUUUAUGCCGCAUGGCAUAAGAGUGAAAGGCGCUUUCGGGUGUCGCUGAUGGAUGGACCCGCGGUGCAUUAGCUAGUUGGUGAGGUAACGGCUCACCAAGGCCACGAUGCAUAGCCGACCUGAGAGGGUGAUCGGCCACACUGGGACUGAGACACGGCCCAGACUCCUACGGGAGGCAGCAGUAGGGAAUCUUCGGCAAUGGACGAAAGUCUGACCGAGCAACGCCGCGUGAGUGAAGAAGGUUUUCGGAUCGUAAAACUCUGUUGUUAGAGAAGAACAAGGACGUUAGUAACUGAACGUCCCCUGACGGUAUCUAACCAGAAAGCCACGGCUAACUACGUGCCAGCAGCCGCGGUAAUACGUAGGUGGCAAGCGUUGUCCGGAUUUAUUGGGCGUAAAGCGAGCGCAGGCGGUUUCUUAAGUCUGAUGUGAAAGCCCCCGGCUCAACCGGGGAGGGUCAUUGGAAACUGGGAGACUUGAGUGCAGAAGAGGAGAGUGGAAUUCCAUGUGGUUAGC